This 459-nucleotide ribosomal RNA is filed under the name uncultured bacterium. RNAcentral's name for it is "partial 16S ribosomal RNA". It matches the Rfam family "Bacterial small subunit ribosomal RNA", at positions 338 to 795 of the family's 1533-position model. The record is from RNAcentral.
CCUACGGGAGGCAGCAGUGAGGAAUAUUGGUCAAUGGUCGGGAGACUGAACCAGCCAAGCCGCGUGAGGGAUGAAGGUACAGAGUAUCGUAAACCUCUUUUGUCAGGGAACAAAGGCGGGGACGUGUCCCCGGAUGAGUGUACCUGAAGAAAAAGCAUCGGCUAACUCCGUGCCAGCAGCCGCGGUAAUACGGAGGAUGCGAGCGUUAUCCGGAUUUAUUGGGUUUAAAGGGUGCGCAGGCGGUCUGUUAAGUCAGCGGGCAAAGCCCGGGGCUCAACCCCGGCCCGCCGUUGAAACUGGCAGUCUCGAGUGGGAGAGAAGUAUGCGGAAUGCGCGGUGUAGCGGUGAAAUGCAUAGAUAGCGCGCAGAACUCCGAUUGCGAAGGCAGCAUGCCGGCUCCACACUGACGCUGAGGCACGAAAGCGUGGGUAUCGAACAGGAUUAGAUACCCUUGUAGUC